UCCCGCAACAGCACUUCUUUCAGCCGUCCUAAACAGUAAACCCUAAUCAAGAAUCUAUCCAAGAACCUAACUAAACACGUAGGCCGCAACAUACAGAGAUUUAAGAAUCGGAGAUUCAAGCAUCUAUACAAGAAGCUGUUGUCUGCGAUUCAAAUUGAGUGUAUGACUGAAGUGCCUGUUCAGUACUUGUAUCUACACGCCAUCAUCUUUCAGGAUGCUUCAUGAAUCUAUGAAUUUAGGCCAUUUCUGGGCAAGGCUCCAGCUUCCACUCCUUCACCUUUAAAUCUAAAUUGCAGCAGCUGUAACGUAGAUCCUAUAGGUAUUACAGCCUGCGGAGUCCUGGUAACCGGUAAUUUUUCUCCUGUUCCUAUUCGUCUUUGUUGUAAAGCAUUGAGUCAGGUUUCAGCAAAAGAAGCAGAAGAUUGUCUUUGCAAUGCCGUUGAGACUGAGGCAAUGAAAACUGACAUAGUUGAUGUCCCAGCUGCUGUUCACACAGUCUUGACAGUAUGCAAAAAAAUAUGAUCAAUCAACGAUGAUACUUAUUGGUUUGUGAAUUUUAUUAAGACAAGGCCCAUGUAAAUGUUGAACUUGCAAUUGUCUUAUUGGUUUCAUACAAAAUGCAACAAAGAUUUUGCCA
This is a long non-coding RNA of Daucus carota subsp. sativus, 637 nucleotides long. RefSeq lists it as uncharacterized. The transcript is spliced from 2 exons. NCBI's taxonomy places the organism in Eukaryota, Viridiplantae, Streptophyta, Magnoliopsida, Apiales, Apiaceae. The record is from RefSeq and is a predicted model, not a curated record.